Molecule: ribosomal RNA, 884 nt
Filed under: uncultured bacterium
Lineage: Bacteria
Description: bacterial SSU rRNA
Rfam family: Bacterial small subunit ribosomal RNA
Source: RNAcentral
AGUUUGAUCCUGGCUCAGGAUGAACGCUGGUUGCGUGCCUAAUACAUGCAAGUCGAACGAAUCUCUUCGGAGAUGAGUGGCGAACGGGUGAGUAAUACAUAGGUAACCUGCCCCUGUGCGGGGGAUAACAGGAGGAAACUCCUGCUAAUACCGCAUAGCCAUGAGCACCGCAUGGAGCUCAUGCCAAAUAUCCUUUCGGGGAUAGCGCAGGGAUGGACCUAUGGCGCAUUAGCUUGUUGGCGGGGCAACGGCCCACCAAGGCAACGAUGCGUAGCCGGCCUGAGAGGGCGGACGGCCACAUUGGGACUGAGACACGGCCCAGACUCCUACGGGAGGCAGCAGUAGGGAAUUUUCGGCAAUGGGGGAAACCCUGACCGAGCAACGCCGCGUGAGCGAAGAAGGCCUUCGGGUCGUAAAGCUCUGUUGUAAAGGAAGAACGGCGCAUACAGGAAAUGGUAUGCGAGUGACGGUACUUUACCAGAAAGCCACGGCUAACUACGUGCCAGCAGCCGCGGUAAUACGUAGGUGGCGAGCGUUAUCCGGAAUCAUUGGGCGUAAAGAGGGAGCAGGCGGCCGCAAGGGUCUGUGGUGAAAGACCGAAGCUAAACUUCGGUAAGCCAUGGAAACCGGGCGGCUAGAGUGCGGAAGAGGAUCGUGGAAUUCCAUGUGUAGCGGUGAAAUGCGUAGAUAUAUGGAGGAACACCAGUGGCGAAGGCGACGGUCUGGGCCGCAACUGACGCUCAUUCCCGAAAGCGUGGGGAGCAAAUAGGAUUAGAUACCCUAGUAGUCCACGCCGUAAACGAUGGUCACUAAGUGUCGGGGGUCAAACCCCGGUGCUGCAGUCAACGCAAUAAGUGACCCGCCUGAGUAGUACGUUCGCAAGA